CCUACGGGUGGCAGCAGUGAGGAAUAUUGGUCAAUGGUCGGGAGACUGAACCAGCCAAGCCGCGUGAGGGAGGAAGGUACAGAGUAUCGUAAACCUCUUUUGUCCGGGAACAAAGGCCGGGACGUGUCCACUGAUGAGUGUACCUGAAGAAAAAGCAUCGGCUAACUCCGUGCCAGCAGCCGCGGUAAUACGGAGGAUCCGAGCGUUAUCCGGAUUUAGUGGGUUUAAAGGGUGGGCGGGGUGGUUGUUAAGUCAGCGGUGAAAACCCGGGGCUUAACCCCGGCCCUGCCGUUGAAACUGGCAGUCGAGAGUUGGAGAGAAGUAUGCGGAAUGCGUGGUGUAGCGGUGAAAUGCAUAGAUAUCGAGCAGAACUCCGAUUGCGAAGGCAGCAUGCUAGCUCCAAACUGACGCUGAGGCACGAAAGCGUGGGUAUCGAACAGGAUUAGAUACCCCAGUAGUC
Molecule: ribosomal RNA, 460 nt
Filed under: uncultured bacterium
Lineage: Bacteria
Description: partial 16S ribosomal RNA
Rfam family: Bacterial small subunit ribosomal RNA
Source: RNAcentral